This 2290-nucleotide long non-coding RNA is filed under the name Toxoplasma gondii VEG. Lineage: Eukaryota; Apicomplexa; Conoidasida; Eucoccidiorida; Sarcocystidae. The record is from RNAcentral.
GGCGAUUCAAUGCGAACACAUCUGGAAGAGCAGGUCGUCUCGUCAAAUUCCUGAGCCCAUAGACAGGCUCCUGCACGACACCUAAGAAUCCCAAUUUCGUCACAUCUCAACUGAAAUGCCUCAACGGAAUCCCAUCGUGAGACAGGUUCUUCCGGGGCCGCUAUCGUUUUGGAGUGGAAUAUUCUGUGCAUCAGCGAAAUGUCUCGGAGCGAACGCAUUCAAGUCUUUCUUGAAACGCAGAAACCUGCUUUUUUAGCCCAUGUCCAGGCAUUUGCGCUGCCCAAGUGCCGCGUACCGCUCUUGCUGACUCUUUCUGAGCCAGCCAAAUCAAUAAGCGACAGUUUUCCGCUUGCGCGUUUUCCGGCCACAAGAUCUUCGACCCGGACGAUAACCGAAAAAAUGAGAUGAGACCGAGAGGAUUCUGCGUUCAUUGCAGUGCCACUAACGUGACGAGCAUCCAGGCCCCAGGCAAACGUUUUGGCGAGCGUUUCCUUAUCUGCAACUUUUUUCAGCGUAAUUCCGGGGAUCGUAACCAUGCCCGUCGCGUCUUUCUUAAUCUCGAGAGCCGGGGGGGUUUUCUUCUUGUCUUCAGGAAGGAGUAAGUCUAUCAACUGACACAGAAUAUGCAGAAAGGGUCGUUUUCUCUGCAUGUUUUCCUUUGAUAAAGUGCUGCACUCCCUGGCGUUCAGAAACAAUGCAUACACUCAGCAGACCUGUUUCCUUGCUCAGCUUACAAGCGAAUGUCCACUAUCGAAGAAACACGGCGAUCCAAGUGAACGGGACUUACCUGAUUGUUGUAAAGCUCGCACAUAUAGACUUCGGCUUCAUACUUGAACUUGCCUUUCUCAAAACCGUCUAGCGUGUCAAACAGGUCGUUGAUCGCCCUUGGCGCGAUACCAGGAUUGCCCGCUCCACCCUGGAUCGUAAAGGUUUUUCCGGACCCUGUUUGUCCGUAAGCGAAAAUGCACCUGAGCCACAAAUGUUUUUAUGUUCAUAUCCCACGUUCUUGAGAGCUCUUGGCAGCACCGUGCCGAUGUGGAGUGAUUGGUAGAGGAUGUCGCUGCGGAAGAAGAACUUUUACCUUCGGUUUCACGCACCCCAAAAGCAAUGAACCGGUUGUGUGAUCGUGUUGCGGGGUGCCCUAUCGAAGUACCUGAUAUCUAGACAAAGACUCAAUGACAUCCCGUGAAACAGUACUCGGCGCAGAUGACGUUAGGCUUUCACCGGUGAUUCACUGAAGUUUUAUGGUGGUACCGCCUUAAGUCGCCGCGGUCCAACGAAAGAAGCAAUUUUUCAAAGCUAGGGCUUUUUGCAAGCCUGGAAGACUUUCAAGGAUGUUGCCAAGAGGGCUGCACCAUAGCAAUGUACCAGACGAUUUGGUGGGGUGAGGGUUAACUCGUAUCAUACAAGAGAAUGAGGAAGACACCCGCACAUCCAGACCGCUCUUGACUCCGUGUGUUGAACGGUAGAAAGUGUGGUAGAUCGUAAAACAGCCCGAGACAGUCCUCAAUUAUCAGAGGCUGUUCUGCACACCUACACGUUGAAACCGUCAAUGACGGAUUGAAUCAGGCGUUUCGUGUCUUCGUAAACCUCUUCCUGUGACCAAGGAGUCAGUCGAAAACGUGGCACGUGGCAGUGUGGAACAGCGCACAAACGGUGUCGUGUCUCGACGACAAGCUGUGCUUGGCGGUGAGACAGGACUCGCCCGAAAUCUUUAGCUCUACAGGGUGUUUAUAGUAUAGGCCUCAAAAUUUUCUCGGGUAGCCUACUGCAAUUUUGGAUCCGAGUCAUCAUUUCGAUAAACCCAGAACUAUAACACAGUCUAGACAAAAAUACCAAUGGCACCGCUACCCUCCCUCUGCGGCCGGAUGUGGCAGGAUAGGCAUCUGCGUGCCUCAUUCGAUCAUGGCAUGGCUAAUUGUGUAUGACACCAAAGCGUUUCUAUGCGUACCUGUGUGCAUUCGGGGGGGAACGUUCUGUCGUACAUGAAUUCCUUGUCACCCUGGAAAACCGCGAACCGGUGAAAAGCGCGCAAAGCGAAGGGCUCCGUAGACAUCGAAACACUUAGGUACGUAAAAGGUAUGUGUCUACGCCUCCUUGUGGCGGGUAACUCUGGGAGUGGUAUCAGCUGAAUGUUUUUUCCAUAAUUUGUCAUUUCGCGAGUAUCCGAAUUAAGCAACAAACGAUAUGGACUGUGUUCGUCCGGUAGGCUUGAGGGGUUCUGUGGAGACGACUACUGCUUUAAACAGUUUUCUGUCACGCAAGCGUAUGAACACUUAUGACAGCGACC